UUUAUCUUUCUACAUACAUUUUGUAAGUAUUACUUUAAUUUGAAUGAAUGAAGUUAUAUUUUUGGUUUGAACAUUAGUAGGAACUUCCAAUUACGUUAUCAGAAUUAGAAAAUUACCAAUCACCUUUUCAGAAUAACCAAAUAGUCGAACUCUAAGUUAGAAAAGUCUGUUUUCAAAGUUGUAAACAAAUGUCACCUAAGUAGUUUACCUUAACUUGGCGACAAACAGAUUCCACAUAGAAAUAAUUUCAUAGAGUGGCGUGAAGUACAAACAACUACACGUGUGUCUUCAUCUUUGAAAUAGUUGAUAAUGUAAGGGGAAAUUGAAAUGGAAAACAAAUACAAGUAAUGAAUAACAAAAGUUUGUCUAAAGAUGACGUUUGAAGGGCAAAAAGGUAUAAAAGCAGCAUCUUACCGAAUCUCAUUGGGAGCCUUCGGUUUCAUCCCCUCCGGUUCUCGUUGAUGUAUAAUCAAAAAAAAUGAGAGGUGUAGAAUAAACUAAAGUAAGGCAUUAAUUAGGGAAGGAGGUAAUGUUAAACCGG
This 541-nucleotide unclassified non-coding RNA is filed under the name Hevea brasiliensis (rubber tree). Lineage: Eukaryota; Viridiplantae; Streptophyta; Magnoliopsida; Malpighiales; Euphorbiaceae. The record is from RNAcentral.